GCCAGGCCUGGUGGUGCAGGCCUGUAGUCUCAACUGCUUGGGAGGCUGAGGUGGGAGGAUGGCUUGUGCCCAGGAGGUCAUGGCUGCAGUGAGCUGUGACUGUGCCACUGCACUCCAGCCUGGAUGACAGAGCAAGACCCUAUCUCAA
Molecule: non-coding RNA, 148 nt
Organism: Gorilla gorilla gorilla (western lowland gorilla)
Lineage: Eukaryota; Metazoa; Chordata; Mammalia; Primates; Hominidae
Rfam family: Metazoan signal recognition particle RNA
About the family: The signal recognition particle (SRP) is a universally conserved ribonucleoprotein.
Source: Rfam